RNAcentral lists this ribosomal RNA (254 nucleotides) under uncultured bacterium. RNAcentral describes it as "partial 16S ribosomal RNA". It matches the Rfam family "Bacterial small subunit ribosomal RNA", at positions 524 to 776 of the family's 1533-position model. The record is from RNAcentral.
UACGUAGGUGGCAAGCGUUUGUCCGGAAUUAUUGGGCGUAAAGCGCGUGUAGGCGGCUGAGUAAGUCUGCUCUGAAAGCCCGGGGCUCAACCCCGGGAGGCGGGUGGAUACUGCUCAGCUCGAGUCCGGAAGAGGAGUGUGGAAUUCCUGGUGUAGCGGUGAAAUGCGCAGAUAUCGGGAAGAACACCCGUGGCGAAGGCGGCUCUCUGGGACGGUACUGACGCUGAGACGCGAAAGCGUGGGGAGCGAACAGG